Molecule: small nuclear RNA, 107 nt
Organism: Homo sapiens (human)
Lineage: Eukaryota; Metazoa; Chordata; Mammalia; Primates; Hominidae
Source: Ensembl
GUGCUUGCUUCAGCACCACAUAUACUAAAAUUGGAAUGACACAGAGAAGAUUAGUGUGGUCCCUGUGCAAGGAUGACAUGCAAAUUCUUGAAGCAUUCCAUAUUUUU